GCCUUAAUUUGACUCAACGCGGGAAAUCUUACCGGGUCCGGACACACUGAGGAUUGACAGGCAAUAUCUCAUGUUUAAUAACCGUUAUUAACGUAUCGCGUUAUUUAAUACAUCGAGUGUUAAAUAUGCUAGUCCUUUCAUGAUUAUGUGAUAGGUGGUGCAUGGCCGUUCUUAGUUCGUGGAGUGAUCUGUCUGCUUAAUUGCGUUUCACUAAGGGCCCAUAAAUUCAAGGUAUGUUAGCUAUCGUCGCUCUAUGGACCCCUUAACCGAGUUAAAUCGAGUUAAGCGCGCGUCUUUAUUUAAAGAGUUUAAGACAUUGCGCAUGCUGUUGGGCUCUGAAAGCAACGAACGUGACCGCAACGUCUUGUUGCCUUAAUAAAGUUGUGUUAUAUAGCAUUCAAUUGCUAUUAAUAACCGCUUACAGAGGCUAUUUAAAACUAGACGGACCGCUGUUUCUUUUCUUAAACCAGAGGAAGGUUGCGGCAAUAACAGGU
Molecule: ribosomal RNA, 494 nt
Filed under: Neogloboquadrina pachyderma
Lineage: Eukaryota; Foraminifera; Rotaliida; Globorotaliidae
Description: bacterial SSU rRNA
Rfam family: Eukaryotic small subunit ribosomal RNA
Source: RNAcentral